RNAcentral lists this ribosomal RNA (198 nucleotides) under uncultured bacterium. RNAcentral's name for it is "partial 16S ribosomal RNA". It matches the Rfam family "Bacterial small subunit ribosomal RNA", at positions 328 to 539 of the family's 1533-position model. The record is from RNAcentral.
ACGCUCGACACCUACGGGAGGCAGCAGUGGGGAAUAUUGCACAAUGGGGGAAACCCUGAUGCAGCGACGCCGCGUGAGCGAAGAAGUAUUUCGGUAUGUAAAGCUCUAUCAGCAGGGAAGAAAAUGACGGUACCUGACUAAGAAGCCCCGGCUAACUACGUGCCUGCAGCCGCGGUAAUCUGAGCGGGCUGGCAAGGC